Molecule: long non-coding RNA, 1918 nt
Organism: Paramisgurnus dabryanus
Lineage: Eukaryota; Metazoa; Chordata; Actinopteri; Cypriniformes; Cobitidae
Source: RefSeq, a predicted model, not a curated record
AUAAAGAGAGAGUCAACAAAUAGGCUAUUCAUAUUUAUUGUAUGAUUUAUUUCUUGUGAGCUUUUUUAUGCAAGUUUGUACAUUAGCAUAAAACUUACAGUGCAGUUUGCGUUUUUGGUGAAUAACCAGGUGUUUUCUUUAUAUUUGUACAUUCUAUAUUGUCAAUGUUUAAUUUAACCUGAAGGGGCAUUUAAAACAAAUAAUCGCAAAAGUGCCCUCUGGUGGCGUAUAUAUGCGUUGCACCAUAAGCGAAGAUGAGCCUCCAGACGUGACAGUUUUUUUUCUUUUCAAACUGAGGAGUUCGGACUCCGGACCGGCAUGUCUGCUUGUUGGUACCCUGAGGUAAGUAAACGUUCUACAUUUUUGAAACGAUAUUACUGAAAUAUUUAGUAUAAUUAGUUAAUAUUUAUUUUGUAAGAGGUCUUGUGCUAAAUAGUGAUAGAAGCUACAUUUAUAAUAUUUACCUCAGUUAAAAAAUACUGUUGGUAACGUUAAAGCACUGACGGGCUUCGUCAACCGUCAGUUAUAAAAGCUCUGUUAAAUACAUUUUGUUCCGGGUUUUAAUGAAUUACGUUACAGUCCUGCUUUAUUUCUUUGUCAUUUUAGAUUAAAUUGCCAAUCACAAUAAGACAGCUGUGUGUUGUAAGGAGACGAAUGAAGCGCGUGGUCAAGGGAACCGGGUGGAAGGGAAAUUAUAUGUAAAUGUUUGUCGCAGUUUUACACAUAUUCCGUGAGUAUUUUUCGUUUGUUCACGAGUGUUUUAUCAGGGUUGGAGCUAAACUCUGAAGAAAAAAGUAAACUGGUGGCCACAGUUGGGAAAUUUCCGCCGGUCUUUAUUAUAAAUGCACGAUUGCAGUGCAGCGUUCGUAUCCGCAACAAGUCUAGAUUUGCAUGUUUUCUGUGAUGCACACAAUGAAUUAAUGUGAUGGUAGCUGUUAAGACACUUACAUUUAACAUUCAAAUGUUUUAAAAACCAAACGUGUUCAGGUUUUUAUGCGUAUUUGGUUUGUGAAGUGUAAUUUAUGCUUUUUUCCUUCCCCUCACAGAUAACCAUGGUUAAUAAAUGGUCCGUUAUGACACGUCACUGGCUUUAAAAUAUUAACCCCAUUGAUGCAAAAAGAUGCUGCAUGGAAUGACAAUGAGGUUUGGAACAGACUUGGUGAAGAACAUGGAAACAUCUCUAAAUAACAUGGCCCCAACCAUCAUCAGGAGUGCAAAAGAAUGAAGUAAAAACAUCUCUACGCCAAUCUCAUUGGAACAGCAGAGGAAACCACAGAAGGUCUGGUGAGGAAUGCUGCACUUAUGUUAUUGCAAGCAUUAUUUUAAGAAAAUCCCAGCUUCCUUUGCUGUGUAAAUAGUGAACCCAAAGAUCCCACACCAACCAUAGUGUUCAACGGCUCUCCUGAUCCUCUCAAAUCUCAAAGUAUCAACUUUAUAAUGGACAAUGUGAACAUAAUAUGUGGAAGACAUUGACAUCACAGGCUGUGGAAUGACUGUUUGCGGGUUUUUUUCUCUUCAAUGUUCAAUACCCUUUUGCCAUUAAGCACACAGUGACUUUAAUUUAUAAAAUAUAUGCUUAAAUUUAAAUACCUGUACAAUCAACUUGUGUAAAUUGUCAUUCUAUUUAAUAGAUUGUUCAUGAAUUGUCUUUAAAUGCAUUGUGAUUUCUUUUCAUCAUUUCAGACACAUGUAAAAGUUACUAAAAAUUAGUACUGCAUAUACUGUACAGUAUCUUUGUUUAUAAAAACAGAAAAUGCGUAAGGGAAAUAACUUGAACAAAAUUUUUGAAUGUAUAGUGUAAUUAAGAGUUUAGCUGUUUAAUACAGAGAUGCAAUUUUAAUAUAUAUAUAUAUAUAUAAACGCAUGUAUGUUUAUAAAAAAGUGAAAAUGCUUAGUGGAAAUAAUUAAAUAACUAAAU